RNAcentral lists this transfer RNA (73 nucleotides) under Treponema sp. RNAcentral's name for it is "tRNA-Ala". It matches the Rfam family "tRNA". From Rfam's summary of the family: Transfer RNA (tRNA) molecules are approximately 80 nucleotides in length. Their secondary structure includes four short double-helical elements and three loops (D, anti-codon, and T loops). Lineage: Bacteria; Pseudomonadati; Spirochaetota; Spirochaetia; Treponematales; Treponemataceae. The record is from RNAcentral. RNAcentral also lists the same sequence under 1 other name.
GGGGGUAUGGCUCAGUUGGUAGAGCGACUGGUUCGCAAUCAGUAGGUCGCCGGUUCGAUCCCGGCUAUCUCCA